AUGGUACUCUUCAAAUGUCGUUGGUUUGAUCCUAUCAAAGGUGUGAAGCCAAAUGCAAAAUUAGGUUUGGUGGAGAUCCAGUGGUCUUCAAGGCUUCGUAAUUUUGAACCAUUUGCCAUGGCUCACCAAGCUACACAAUCUUAUUACUUGAAGUAUGCAUCCUCGAGGAGAGAUCUUCGUGAUUGGAGGGUUGUGUACACGAUUCAGCCAAGCAGCAGCUUGAGUAACCUUGAUGACUGCGCAAAUGACCCAUCUACUACAGAUGAAUAUUUCCAAGAAGUUAGUCAGCUGGGUAGUUUUUCUGUAGAUGUUGGCAAAUUAUUUGAUGAGUUUGCUAAGCCAAGAAAGGAGUCAGAUGAUGUGAUGCUUGAUCCCUCUGAAAUUGAAAGAAUAGAAAAUCAAGACUUUAAUGAUGAGGGAGAAGAAUCUUCAGAAGAUGAUUUGGAAGAGAGUACCGAUGAGGAAGAAGAUUUACCACAAGAGGAAGGAGAAGAAGAGACAUAUGAGACCGAAGAUGAGGAUGAUGCAAUAGAGCAUGACUCGGAAUAUGACAAUGAGGAUUACUAA
RNAcentral lists this ribosomal RNA (567 nucleotides) under Triticum aestivum (bread wheat). Its description in RNAcentral is "partial small subunit ribosomal RNA". Lineage: Eukaryota; Viridiplantae; Streptophyta; Magnoliopsida; Poales; Poaceae. The record is from RNAcentral.